This 171-nucleotide ribosomal RNA is filed under the name uncultured bacterium. RNAcentral describes it as "partial 16S ribosomal RNA". It matches the Rfam family "Bacterial small subunit ribosomal RNA", at positions 338 to 524 of the family's 1533-position model. The record is from RNAcentral.
CCUACGGGAGGCAGCAGCCGCGGUAAUAUUGGACAAUGGGCGCAAGCCUGAUCCAGCCAUGCCGCGUGAGUGAUGACGGCCUUAGGGUUGUAAAGCUCUUUCGCUCGGGACGAUAAUGACGGUACCGAGAUAAGAAGCCCCGGCUAACUUCGUGCCAGCAGCCGCGGUAAU